This 721-nucleotide ribosomal RNA is filed under the name Pandoraea sp. ahK8. Its description in RNAcentral is "bacterial SSU rRNA". It matches the Rfam family "Bacterial small subunit ribosomal RNA", at positions 60 to 774 of the family's 1533-position model. The record is from RNAcentral. Lineage: Bacteria; Pseudomonadati; Pseudomonadota; Betaproteobacteria; Burkholderiales; Burkholderiaceae.
AGUCGAACGGCAGCACGGGUGCUUGCACCUGGUGGCGAGUGGCGAACGGGUGAGUAAUACAUCGGAAUGUACCUUGUAGUGGGGGAUAGCUCGGCGAAAGCCGGAUUAAUACCGCAUACGCUCUGAGGAGGAAAGCGGGGGACCUUCGGGCCUCGCGCUACAAGAGCAGCCGAUGUCAGAUUAGCUAGUUGGUGGGGUAAAAGCUCACCAAGGCGACGAUCUGUAGCUGGUCUGAGAGGACGACCAGCCACACUGGGACUGAGACACGGCCCAGACUCCUACGGGAGGCAGCAGUGGGGAAUUUUGGACAAUGGGCGAAAGCCUGAUCCAGCAAUGCCGCGUGUGUGAAGAAGGCCUUCGGGUUGUAAAGCACUUUUGUCCGGAAAGAAAUCCUCUGGGUUAAUACCUCGGGGGGAUGACGGUACCGGAAGAAUAAGCACCGGCUAACUACGUGCCAGCAGCCGCGGUAAUACGUAGGGUGCAAGCGUUAAUCGGAAUUACUGGGCGUAAAGCGUGCGCAGGCGGUUUUGUAAGACGGAUGUGAAAUCCCCGGGCUUAACCUGGGAACUGCAUUCGUGACUGCAAGGCUAGAGUAUGGCAGAGGGGGGUAGAAUUCCACGUGUAGCAGUGAAAUGCGUAGAGAUGUGGAGGAAUACCGAUGGCGAAGGCAGCCCCCUGGGCCAAUACUGACGCUCAUGCACGAAAGCGUGGGGAGCAAACA